MicroRNA precursor from Cephalotus follicularis, 155 nucleotides. It matches the Rfam family "MIR828 microRNA precursor family". NCBI's taxonomy places the organism in Eukaryota, Viridiplantae, Streptophyta, Magnoliopsida, Oxalidales, Cephalotaceae. The record is from Rfam.
GUAAUGUUUCUUGCUCAAAUGAGUAUUCCAUACACAAUAGCAUGCUUUUUUGCACACAAAGGUCAAAAACAAAUAAAAAAAAGUUCUUUCCACUUUGUGUAUAUAUACAGCUGUGCUUGUGUUUAUGAGAUGCUCAUUUGAGCAAGCAAUAUUGU